ACGAACGCUGGCGGCGUGCUUAACACAUGCAAGUCGAACGGAAAGGCCCUGCUUUUGUGGGGUGCUCGAGUGGCGAACGGGUGAGUAACACGUGAGUAACCUGCCCUUGACUUUGGGAUAACUUCAGGAAACUGGGGCUAAUACCGGAUAGGAGCUCCUGCUGCAUGGUGGGGGUUGGAAAGUUUCGGCGGUUGGGGAUGGACUCGCGGCUUAUCAGCUUGUUGGUGGGGUAGUGGCUUACCAAGGCUUUGACGGGUAGCCGGCCUGAGAGGGUGACCGGCCACAUUGGGACUGAGAUACGGCCCAGACUCCUACGGGAGGCAGCAGUGGGGAAUAUUGCACAAUGGGCGGAAGCCUGAUGCAGCAACGCCGCGUGCGGGAUGACGGCCUUCGGGUUGUAAACCGCUUUCGCCUGUGACGAAGCGUGAGUGUCGGUAAUGGGUAAAGAAGCACCGGCUAACUACGUG
This 467-nucleotide ribosomal RNA is filed under the name uncultured bacterium. RNAcentral's name for it is "partial 16S ribosomal RNA". It matches the Rfam family "Bacterial small subunit ribosomal RNA", at positions 29 to 507 of the family's 1533-position model. The record is from RNAcentral.